CCCGCGCCGUAUUAGCUAGUUGGUGGGGUAACGGCCUACCAAGGCGACGAUACGUAGCCGACCUGAGAGGGUGAUCGGCCACACUGGAACUGAGACACGGUCCAGACUCCUACGGGAGGCAGCAGUAGGGAAUCUUCCGCAAUGGGCGAAAGCCUGACGGAGCAACGCCGCGUGAGUGAUGAAGGUCUUCGGAUCGUAAAGCUCUGUUGUUAGGGAAGAACAAAUGUGUAAGUAACUGUGCACAUCUUGACGGUACCUAACCAGAAAGCCACGGCUAACUACGUGCCAGCAGCCGCGGUAAUACGUAGGUGGCAAGCGUUAUCCGGAAUUAUUGGGCGUAAAGCGCGCGUAGGCGGUUUUUUAAGUCUGAUGUGAAAGCCCACGGCUCAACCGUGGAGGGUCAUUGGAAACUGGAAAACUUGAGUGCAGAAGAGGAAAGUGGAAUUCCAUGUGUAGCGGUGAAAUGCGCAGAGAUAUGGAGGAACACCAGUGGCGAAGGCGGCUUUCUGGUCUGCAACUGACGCUGAUGUGCGAAAGCGUGGGGAUCAAACAGGAUUAGAUACCCUGGUAGUCCACGCCGUAAACGA
Molecule: ribosomal RNA, 587 nt
Filed under: Staphylococcus pseudintermedius
Lineage: Bacteria; Bacillati; Bacillota; Bacilli; Caryophanales; Staphylococcaceae
Description: bacterial SSU rRNA
Rfam family: Bacterial small subunit ribosomal RNA
Source: RNAcentral